UCCACUGUAUACAGAAUCAGUAUUAUUUAUUCCAUUUCUUUAUUCUUUACCAUUAAUAUAAGGAAUUUUAUUUAGUCCUGACAAUUUAGUCAAUUCUGAUUCCAGACUGUAAAUUUCUCGUCAGCUUUUCUAUUGUAGAUUUGUAACUACAGGAAUAGUGCUGAGGAACCACGGGCGCAAUUUGCCCAUCUGCUCAGCAGCUCUCUCAACCCCACCCAGCAGCACUCAGCAAAUCAGUAAGAGAUGGAUUCAAGCAUCUCUGCAGUGUUUCUUCCUCAGAGAGAGAGAGAUGGAAAGCGAGCGAGUAGGAAGUGGGAAGUCACCUCCGUCACUGUAAGACACCCACCUAAUCAGCUCAGCGCCUGGGGAGAGAGAGAGGAAAAGAGUGAGAGAGAGAAGGAAAAAAGUACUAUCUAUUAACUGAACAUCUCGUCAUCUGCCUGACCAGCUAUUUCAGGUCUCUCCAUUAGUGAGACAUGACGAAUCCAUCUGACGUCCUAACUGUCAUAUCCCUGAGCCUUUAAAGAUCCCUAUAACAUGCUCAGCAAUCCAAAAAAUGGAGACAAUUGAUUUUCGCCUGCCAAGAAUGAUCGUAAUAAAGUUUUACAAGCAUGACGAAUCCCCAGGGUUAUGAUCUAUGCACAUUUUUCAAAGGAAAAAGAUUUCUCUCUCUCCAUUGAAUCAUCUUUAGACAAAUGGUGGCGACAGUAUAAUUGGACAUUAGUCUUAAUUCACAUGUUACAGGAGCUGAAUUGAAUGCUCGCUCCUCUUGGCUGGACACCGAGCUCUUUUCUCUGCAUGUUGCGUUUGGUUUUUCUAAUUGUGCCUGGUGAAAGGCAACCAUCCUAAACUGAAGAGCAUAAUUUAACUGGCCUUAAUAAAGGACUUCUAUUCAACAUCGGGCCCAUUAUUUUCCAGCUAGACUCCUGACCGGAGAUAAAUAGGAAUGGUACUCUCACCUUUUUUUUUUUUCUCUCACUUGCUCCCACUUCUCUGGAAUCUUAAGUAAAUGUAUAAGUGUGUG
RNAcentral lists this long non-coding RNA (1024 nucleotides) under Sinocyclocheilus grahami. Its description in RNAcentral is "lncRNA (ENSSGRG00000010715.1)". The record is from RNAcentral. Lineage: Eukaryota; Metazoa; Chordata; Actinopteri; Cypriniformes; Cyprinidae.